RNAcentral lists this ribosomal RNA (445 nucleotides) under uncultured bacterium. RNAcentral's name for it is "partial 16S ribosomal RNA". It matches the Rfam family "Bacterial small subunit ribosomal RNA", at positions 330 to 792 of the family's 1533-position model. The record is from RNAcentral.
GCCAGACUCCUACGGGAGGCAGCAGUGGGGGAUAUUGCACAAUGGGCGCAAGCCUGAUGCAGCGACGCCGCGUGAGCGAAGAAGUAUUUCGGUAUGUAAAGCUCUCUCAGCAGGGAAGAAGAUGACGGUACCUGACCAAGAAGCUCCGGCUAAAUACGUGCCAGCAGCCGCGGUAAUACGUAUGGAGCAAGCGUUAUCCGGAUUUACUGGGUGUAAAGGGAGCGCAGGCGGCCUUGCAAGUCUGAUGUGAAAGGCCGGGGCCCAACCCCGGGACUGCUCUUGGAACUGCGCGGCUGGAGUGCAGGAGGGGCAGGCGGAAUUCCUGGUGUAGCGGUGAAAUGCGUAGAUAUCAGGAGGAACACCGGUGGCGAAGGCGGCCUGCUGGACUGCGACUGACGUUGAGGCCCGAAAGCGUGGGGAGCAAACAGGAUUAGAUACCCCAGUA